CUACGGGAGGCAGCAGUGGGGAAUAUUGCACAAUGGGCGGAAGCCUGAUGCAGCAACGCCGCGUGCGGGAUGACGGCCUUCGGGUUGUAAACCGCUUUCGCCUGUGACGAAGCGUGAGUGACGGUAAUGGGUAAAGAAGCACCGGCUAACUACGUGCCAGCAGCCGCGGUGAUACGUAGGGUGCGAGCGUUGUCCGGAUUUAUUGGGCGUAAAGGGCUCGUAGGUGGUUGAUCGCGUCGGAAGUGUAAUCUUGGGGCUUAACCCUGAGCGUGCUUUCGAUACGGGUUGACUUGAGGAAGGUAGGGGAGAAUGGAAUUCCUGGUGGAGCGGUGGAAUGCGCAGAUAUCAGGAGGAACACCAGUGGCGAAGGCGGUUCUCUGGGCCUUUCCUGACGCUGAGGAGCGAAAGCGUGGGGAGCGAACAGGCUUAGAUACCCUGGUAGUCCACGCUGUAAACGGUGGGUACUAGGUGUGGGGUCCAUUCCACGGGUUCCGUGCCGUAGCUAACGCUUUAAGUACCCCGCCUGGGGAGUACGGCCGCAAGGCUAAAACUCAAAGGAAUGACG
Molecule: ribosomal RNA, 565 nt
Filed under: uncultured Propionibacterium sp.
Lineage: Bacteria; Bacillati; Actinomycetota; Actinomycetes; Propionibacteriales; Propionibacteriaceae
Description: bacterial SSU rRNA
Rfam family: Bacterial small subunit ribosomal RNA
Source: RNAcentral